UGCCUCGGUAGCUCAGCAGGUAGAGCACUUGCCUGUUAAGCAAGUUGUCACAGGUUCGAGUCCUGUCCGGGGCGA
Molecule: transfer RNA, 75 nt
Filed under: uncultured archaeon
Lineage: Archaea
Description: tRNA-Asn(gtt)
Rfam family: tRNA
About the family: Transfer RNA (tRNA) molecules are approximately 80 nucleotides in length. Their secondary structure includes four short double-helical elements and three loops (D, anti-codon, and T loops).
Source: RNAcentral